UGAAAUCUGCAUGGCAAACAUCAUUGCCUUAUGAUACAUUUCUCAAAUUUUCAGAACAUAUCCCUGUUGUUUAGCAGCACGUGAAUGUAUUUGAUUUAUUGUCUUGAUGUCCCUUUGCUUUCCCCAUGUGUUACCAUCAACUGCCUAAUGAAACAGCCUGGGAUUGUGUAAUGACUAACUUAGUGCUUUGAGUUUAAUUCUUUUUCAGCCACUGUGGUAUGUUGAUUACUAUAUUAAUAAUGUGUCUCCUUUAUGUGUUUUUAAAUAGUUACUUGGUCAUGAACUAUUUAUAAGCUUUGGAAACAUGAUUUCAUUUAUUCUGCAGGAUAACUUCAGGAAGUGGGUAUUAAUUCUCACUGUAUAAGUGAAGACAUUAAGCACCAGAGUUUAAGUAGCUUGAUCCACUGAAAGAGAUUCAACUGUGUGGAACCUAUGCCGCGGAGAAUUGCUUUCUGCCAUUGUUAUUGUCCAGCAGUUGCCGAAUAGCUCUGACCUGAGCAAAGCAGUGAAACGCGGUGCUGUUGAGUGGGUUGCCACUGCACCUUUUUCAACUACUCUAGUCUUGUGGAGAAAACACCCCUUCUAAAUUUUUUCUUCAUUGAAUACUCUCCCUCAGCUCCAGGGUACCAUAUAGAGUUUUCUUGUAUUUUAGAGUUACUGUUUUAUCAAAGUGUACCAGUCUUUUGUAUUACAUUUCUCCUGUCUAAAUCAA
RNAcentral lists this long non-coding RNA (712 nucleotides) under Homo sapiens (human). Its description in RNAcentral is "novel transcript". Lineage: Eukaryota; Metazoa; Chordata; Mammalia; Primates; Hominidae. The record is from RNAcentral.